This 494-nucleotide ribosomal RNA is filed under the name Weissella sp. WS-65. RNAcentral describes it as "bacterial SSU rRNA". It matches the Rfam family "Bacterial small subunit ribosomal RNA", at positions 194 to 677 of the family's 1533-position model. The record is from RNAcentral. Lineage: Bacteria; Bacillati; Bacillota; Bacilli; Lactobacillales; Lactobacillaceae.
UGCUACUUGAAAGAUGGUUCUGCUAUCACUAAUAGAUGGUCCCGCGGCGCAUUAGUUAGUUGGUGAGGUAAUGGCUCACCAAGACGAUGAUGCGUAUCCGAGUUGAGAGACUGAUCGGCCACAAUGGGACUGAGACACGGCCCAUACUCCUACGGGAGGCAGCAGUAGGGAAUCUUCCACAAUGGACCAAAGUCUGAUGGAGCAACCCCCCGUGUGUGAUGAAGGGUUUCGGCUCGUAAAACACUGUUGUAAGAUAAGAAUAGCAUCAAGAGUAACUGCUUGGUGUGUGACGGUAUCUUACCAGAAAGGAACGGCUAAAUACGUGCCAGCAGCCGCGGUAAUACGUAUGUUCCAAGCGUUAUCCGGAUUUAUUGGGCGUAAAGCGAGCGCACACGGUUUUUUAAGUCCCAAGUGAAAGCCCACAGCUUAACUGUGGAAGUGCUUUGGAAACUGGAUGACUUGAGUGCAGUAAGGAGAGUGGAAUUCCAUGUGUA